Molecule: long non-coding RNA, 944 nt
Organism: Oncorhynchus gorbuscha (pink salmon)
Lineage: Eukaryota; Metazoa; Chordata; Actinopteri; Salmoniformes; Salmonidae
Exons: 6
Source: RefSeq, a predicted model, not a curated record
AUUUAAUCCAUUUUAGAAUAAGGCUGUGUAAUGUAACAAAAUGUGGAAAAAGUGAAGAGGUCUGAGGCAGAGAAUGGAGGAGAGGACAGGCCCAGGACGCUUGCCAGUGGGAGGUCUGUUUGUGGGCACUCAGCUGUCAUUGGCUCCUGAGUCAGACCUUUUAGAGAGCAGGAAGAAACCGCCGCUCAUGAGCUCUAAAGCUGUGGAACAGCUUUCCCCAAUGCCUUCCCCAAUGCAAACUCUAAGUGACGGUGAAACUAAGUUUGAAGGAAGAAAUAAACCCCAGUCCAACCAGAGUUUCCCAGCAUCCCAGGCACGCUCCUGGGCGCGGUGAAGAACAGAGAGAUGGCGGUGCAUGCGGACAUCCACCUCUAGACCCCGAACCAAAAGCACCGAGCCGCUCACCAGAAUUGCAUGAUGCCCCUACGCAUGAGCUCGACGCAAUGGAAACAGACUCUUUUGAUAACGAUCCAUUCUCCGGGCCAGGCACCGAUCAUUUUCCAGAGGGAAUGGAAGCUGAAGAAUGGAACAUAAUGGCUGUCCAAGCCUGCCCAGGGGGGUUGAAUUCAAAGUGAAAUCGCCACAGCCGACAUCAUUGAACACCCAUCUACUUGUCUUUUUGUUCCUAGAAAGUGUCCUUGUCUUGUCCUCGUGCUACAUGGACUUACAUGGACUUCAAGAUUGUGGUUCUUGAGAAGCAGUUGAACUUGUUGGGUUCCGUAGGGGACUAUGCACGCACCAAGUAAGAGCUGCCACUAGAGCUUUGUCUGAGAUAACAGUGCAGCAAUGGGAAUUCGUUAACAUAUUAACAACUGCAAUCCAAUAAGAAUCCAGCCAUAUUAGCCCUGUUAUACAGUAGAUGGCGUUAUAAUGCAAGAUACAUCUGGAAUGUAUCUUAACAAACAGUUGGAAAACCCAAAGAAUGACUUGGUCAGUCACGAAUC